RNAcentral lists this ribosomal RNA (657 nucleotides) under Russula sp. 32 HW-2016. RNAcentral describes it as "eukaryotic LSU rRNA". The stretch from base 205 to 358 matches the Rfam family "5.8S ribosomal RNA". Lineage: Eukaryota; Fungi; Basidiomycota; Agaricomycetes; Russulales; Russulaceae. The record is from RNAcentral.
GGAUCAUUAUCGUAAAACUGAGGCACGAGGGCUGUCGCUGACUUUUUCGUCGUGCACGCCCGAGCGCUCUCAAACAUCCAUCUCACCCCUAUGUGCACCACCGCGUGGGUCCCCCUUUGGCUCGUCCCGAGGGGGGCUCGCGUUUUCACACAAACUCGAUACAGUGUAGAAUGUCUUUAUUUUGCGAUAACACGCAAUUAAUACAACUUUCAACAACGGAUCUCUUGGCUCUCGCAUCGAUGAAGAACGCAGCGAAAUGCGAUACGUAAUGUGAAUUGCAGAAUUCAGUGAAUCAUCGAAUCUUUGAACGCACCUUGCGCCCCUUGGCAUUCCGAGGGGCACACCCGUUUGAGUGUCGUGAAAUUCUCAAAACCUUUCCUUUGAAAGAAUUUUGGACUUGGAGGCUUUUGCCGGUUUCACCUCGAAGCCAGCUCCUCCUAAAUGGAUUAGUGGGGUCUGCUUUGCCGAUCCUUGACGUGAUAACUCAUUUCUACGUCUUGGUUUUGGCACUGUCCCUUGGACACCCGCUUCUAACCGUCUCAUCGACAAUGAUGGCGUUCCGGUCACCACCGUCUCAUCGGUGGGGGGCUUGACCCACCAAAAUCACCCUUGACCUCAAAUCGGGUGAGACUACCCGCUGAACUUAAGCAUAUCAAU